Long non-coding RNA from Polypterus senegalus (gray bichir), 300 nucleotides. RefSeq lists it as uncharacterized. Lineage: Eukaryota; Metazoa; Chordata; Cladistia; Polypteriformes; Polypteridae. The transcript is spliced from 3 exons. The record is from RefSeq and is a predicted model, not a curated record.
AUAUGUUAACGACUCUGUUUCCAGUGCUUCAGUGGCACUGACAGUUGGAGAUACAGUUAUUGAAGUAAAGGUUUAUUCACCAGAUGAAACAAAUUUCCAGACAUAUGACAUUAUUGUCACACGUAUGGAGUUUCCUCUUAUGGUGAACUUUUUCAACGCUGAAGAACAGUCAUUGUAUGAAUGUCCCAUUUCUUUGAAAGCAUUUUACCGACCAGUGUCAAUCAAAGGGAGUGAUCCAAAGCAUACAUUUUCAACUCCUUGUAUUGACAUGUUAACACGACGAUCUAAAAUUGACCCACU